RNAcentral lists this ribosomal RNA (465 nucleotides) under Vreelandella stevensii. RNAcentral describes it as "partial 16S ribosomal RNA". It matches the Rfam family "Bacterial small subunit ribosomal RNA", at positions 338 to 795 of the family's 1533-position model. Lineage: Bacteria; Pseudomonadati; Pseudomonadota; Gammaproteobacteria; Oceanospirillales; Halomonadaceae. The record is from RNAcentral.
CCCACGGGAGGCAGCAGUGGGGAAUAUUGGACAAUGGGCGAAAGCCUGAUCCAGCCAUGCCGCGUGUGUGAAGAAGGCCUUCGGGUUGUAAAGCACUUUCAGUGGGGAAGAAAGCCUUGGGGCUAAUACCCUCGAGGAAGGACAUCACCCACAGAAGAAGCACCGGCUAACUCCGUGCCAGCAGCCGCGGUAAUACGGAGGGUGCGAGCGUUAAUCGGAAUUACUGGGCGUAAAGCGCGCGUAGGCGGUCUGAUAAGCCGGUUGUGAAAGCCCCGGGCUCAACCUGGGAACGGCAUCCGGAACUGUCAGGCUAGAGUGCAGGAGAGGAAGGUAGAAUUCCCGGUGUAGCGGUGAAAUGCGUAGAGAUCGGGAGGAAUACCAGUGGCGAAGGCGGCCUUCUGGACUGACACUGACGCUGAGGUGCGAAAGCGUGGGUAGCAAACAGGAUUAGAUACCCGUGUAGUC